GACGAACGCUGGCGGCGUGCUUAACACAUGCAAGUCGAACGGAAAGGCCCUGCUUUUGUGGGGUGCUCGAGUGGCGAACGGGUGAGUAACACGUGAGUAACCUGCCCUUGACUUUGGGAUAACUUCAGGAAACUGGGGCUAAUACCGGAUAGGAGCUCCUGCUGCAUGGUGGGGGUUGGAAAGUUUCGGCGGUUGGGGAUGGACUCGCGGCUUAUCAGCUUGUUGGUGGGGUAGUGGCUUACAACGGCUUUGACGGGUAGCCGGCCUGAGAGGGUGACCGGCUACAUUGGAACUGAGAUACGGCCCAGACUCCGACGGAAGGCAGCGGUGGGAAUUAUGGCACAAGGGGCGGAAGCCGAAUGCAGCAACGCCGCGUGCGGAAGGACGGCCUUCGGGUUGUAAACCGCUUUCGCCGGUAACGAAGCGUGAGUGACGGUAAUGGGUAAGGAAGCACCGGCUAACUACGU
Molecule: ribosomal RNA, 467 nt
Filed under: uncultured bacterium
Lineage: Bacteria
Description: partial 16S ribosomal RNA
Rfam family: Bacterial small subunit ribosomal RNA
Source: RNAcentral